AAAUACGGUAUAACAAAAUGGCCGCCGUUCCCGUGUUAGGAACUGAUGAGAAUCCUGGCCCCCAGAAUCCUGAGACUAAAGCAAAAACCAAUCUAAUCGUAAACUACCUUCCCCAGACCCUAACGGAAGAGGGACUGAAGCAGCUAUUCUCCCAGUUCGGGGUCGUGUUGAGUUGUAAAUUAAUAAAAGACAAAUCCUCUGGUAUUUCCUUAGGGUAUGGGUUUGUUAAUUACGGGUCAGCCGAAGAGGCUGAACACGCCAUUCAAAAGAUGAACGGUACAACACUAGAAAGCAAAACACUGAAAGUGAGCUAUGCCCGUCCUUCUUCAGUUGCCAUUAAAAAUGCCAACGUCUACGUGGCUAACCUCCCCCCACAACUCUCCCUCACUGAACUAGACGCUCUAUUCCAGCCGUACGGUACUAUCAUAACCUCUAAGGUACUUACUGAUGAGGACACAGGUGCUGGCCGAGGAGUUGGGUUCGUCCGAUUCGAUAAAUACACUCAAGCUGAGGUUGCCAUAGCAGCUCUAAACGGCAAACAACUAGUGGGCGGGACACAGCCUUUACUCGUUAAAUUUGCAAACCCACCGAAAGCAGCCACGCCCCUAACAGGGACAGUCCCGGGCGGACUAGCUAAUCAAAUAAUGACACAAACUCAGAAACGUUUAAACAACAAUGGCUCCAGCUCCAGUGCGGCCUCUUCCAUGAGUUAUACUAGUACUAAUGGAGGGAGCGUGGGCCCAAUGAGACACAUUCCAACUGUCAGCAACAUGAGGUAUAAUCCUGUCUCUAGUCUACCUACCGCCGGCCUACCCACUGCUGCUGGUAUGGUCAACCCUGCGGCAAUGGCCGCCCUCACUGGAAUGACAACUGGCGUACCUAAUCUGGCCAAUCUGGCACCUGUUGCCGGUGGUAACGGUUCCACUAUGACAUCACCAGGUGACCCCAGUUACUGUGUCUUUGUCUAUAAUCUUCCUGAGACCUGUCAAGACUUCCUGCUAUACCAGCUGUUCAGUCCGUUUGGUGCCAUUACUAGUGUGAAUGUGAUCCGUGAUCUUAAAUCAGGUCUGUGUAAGAGGUACGGGUUUGUUAACAUGAAGAGUUAUGAAGAUGCCUGCAGUGCCAUAAUGACUCUUAAUGGCUACGUCCAUGAUGGGAAGACACUCCAGGUCUCCUUUAAGAAUCAGAAGAAGUAGAUUAAUGAUGACUGCAAGAGAGAAGGCUUCGUUCUUCAGCUGUUGUGUAUAAUAUUAUAAUGUGUUUGGUCAGUUUACAAUGGAGACUGUGUUAGGAGCUGCUUUUGGUUCUCAAGUUAAUGUAUUAAAAGGAGAGGGAGACUCACUCACCGAAUUGAAGAAAAGGCACUGUUUAUUUUUUAAUAACUAUUAAUAAUAAAAUUUAUAAGCAGCCACGCCCACGAAUUGUCUGCAAAUUACUGAAAUUAGUUCAAAACAAAA
Molecule: unclassified non-coding RNA, 1457 nt
Filed under: Amphimedon queenslandica
Lineage: Eukaryota; Metazoa; Porifera; Demospongiae; Haplosclerida; Niphatidae
Description: uncharacterized LOC100632591, transcript variant X2
Source: RNAcentral